GACGAACGCUGGCGGCGUGCCUAACACAUGCAAGUCGAACGGACAGGCCCUGCUUUUGUGGGGUGCUCGAGUGGCGAACGGGUGAGUAACACGUGAGUAACCUGCCCUUGACUUUGGGAUAACUUCAGGAAACUGGGGCUCAUACCGGAUAGGAUCUUCUGCUGCAUGGUGGGGGUUGGAAAGUUUCGGCGGUUGGGGAUGGACUCGCGGGUUAUCAGCUGCUUGGUGGGGUAGUGGCUUACCAAGGCUUUGACGGGUAGCCGGCCUGAGAGGGUGACCGGCCACAUUGGGACUGAGAGACGGCCCAGACGCCUACGGGAGGCAGCAGUGGGGAAUAUUGCACAAUGGGCGGAAGCCUGAUGCAGCAACGCCGCGUGCGGGAUGACGGCCUUCGGGUUGUAAACCGCUUUCGCCGGUGACGAAGCGUGAGUGACGGUAAUGGGUAAAGAAGCACCGGCUAACUACGUG
Molecule: ribosomal RNA, 468 nt
Filed under: uncultured bacterium
Lineage: Bacteria
Description: partial 16S ribosomal RNA
Rfam family: Bacterial small subunit ribosomal RNA
Source: RNAcentral